RNAcentral lists this ribosomal RNA (419 nucleotides) under Paracyatholaimus intermedius. RNAcentral describes it as "SSU rRNA". It matches the Rfam family "Eukaryotic small subunit ribosomal RNA", at positions 110 to 534 of the family's 1831-position model. Lineage: Eukaryota; Metazoa; Nematoda; Chromadorea; Chromadorida; Cyatholaimidae. The record is from RNAcentral.
CCAUAGUUUAUUGGAUCUUCUCUNUACUUGGAUACCUGUGGUAAUUCUAGAGCUAAUACACGCAACAAAACCCUGACUUCGGAAGGGGUGCAUUUAUUAGAACAAAACCAAUCGGGCUUGCCCGUCGUUUGGUGAAUCUGAAUAACUCAGCGGAUCGCACGGUCUCGCACCGGCGACGUAUCUUUCAAGUGUCUGCCUUAUCAACUGUCGAUGGUAGUUUAUAUGACUACCAUGGUUGUAACGGGUAACGGAGAAUAAGGGUUCGACUCCGGAGAGGGAGCCUGAGAAACGGCUACCACAUCCAAGGAAGGCAGCAGGCGCGCAAAUUACCCACUCUCAGCUCGAGGAGGUAGUGACGAAAAAUAACGAGACGCUUCUCUAUGAGGUGCGUCAUCGGAAUGGGUACAAUUUAAACCCUU